CUGGAGAUGAUGCAUUAAAAACAUCUGAAUGCCACUGAUGGUGUUUGUAUUCAUACUGUCUGAUCCAU
Molecule: small nucleolar RNA, 68 nt
Organism: Salarias fasciatus (jewelled blenny)
Lineage: Eukaryota; Metazoa; Chordata; Actinopteri; Blenniiformes; Blenniidae
Source: Ensembl